RNAcentral lists this ribosomal RNA (404 nucleotides) under uncultured bacterium. RNAcentral's name for it is "bacterial SSU rRNA". It matches the Rfam family "Bacterial small subunit ribosomal RNA", at positions 362 to 757 of the family's 1533-position model. The record is from RNAcentral.
UUUUGGACAAAUGGGCGAAAGCCUGAUCCAGCAAUGCCGCGUGUGGGAAAGAAGGCCUUCGGGUUGUAAACCACUUUUGUGCAGAACGAAACGGUCCGCUUUUAUACACUGGGCUAAUGACGGUACCGUAAGAAUAAGCACCGGCUAACUACGUGCCAGCAGCCGCGGUAAUACGUAGGGUGCGAGCGUUGUCUCGGAAUUAUUGGGCGUAAAAGCGUGCGCAGGCGGGUUAUAUAAGACAGUUGGAAAAUCCCCGGGCUCAACCUGGGAAUUGCAUCUAAACCCCCAAGCUAGAGUCCGGAAGAGGGGAAUGGAAUUCCGGGUGUAGCAGUGAAAUGCGCAGAUAUCAGGAAGAACACCGAUAGGAAGCAAUCUCCCUGGACCGUACUGACGCUGAUCACGAA